AAAGAUUUAGUUUAAGUAAAACAUUAAUUUGUCAAGUUAAAAAUAUUAAUUAAUUAGUAAUCUUUA
This 66-nucleotide transfer RNA is filed under the name Aeschrocoris tuberculatus. RNAcentral describes it as "tRNA-Asp". It matches the Rfam family "tRNA". From Rfam's summary of the family: Transfer RNA (tRNA) molecules are approximately 80 nucleotides in length. Their secondary structure includes four short double-helical elements and three loops (D, anti-codon, and T loops). Further hydrogen bonds mediate the characteristic L-shaped molecular structure. tRNAs have two regions of fundamental functional importance: the anti-codon, which is responsible for specific mRNA codon recognition, and the 3' end, to which the tRNAs corresponding amino acid is attached (by aminoacyl-tRNA synthetases). tRNAs cope with the degeneracy of the genetic code in two manners: having more than one tRNA (with a specific anti-codon) for a particular amino acid; and 'wobble' base-pairing, i.e. permitting non-standard base-pairing at the 3rd anti-codon position. Lineage: Eukaryota; Metazoa; Arthropoda; Insecta; Hemiptera; Pentatomidae. The record is from RNAcentral.